AGUGAACGCUGGCGGUAGGCCUAACACAUGCAAGUCGAACGGCAGCACAGUAAGAGCUUGCUCUUACGGGUGGCGAGUGGCGGACGGGUGAGGAAUACAUCGGAAUCUACUUUUUCGUGGGGGAUAACGUAGGGAAACUUACGCUAAUACCGCAUACGACCUACGGGUGAAAGCAGGGGAUCUUCGGACCUCGCGCGAUUGAAUGAGCCGAUGUCGGAUUAGCUAGUUGGCGGGGUAAAGGCCCACCAAGGCGACGAUCCGUAGCUGGUCUGAGAGGAUGAUCAGCCAUACUGGAACUGAGACACGGUCCAGACUCCUACGGGAGGCAGCAGUGGGGAAUAUUGGACAAUGGGCGCAAGCCUGAUCCAGCCAUACCGCGUGGGUGAAGAAGGCCUUCGGGUUGUAAAGCCCUUUUGUUGGGAAAGAAAAGCAGCAGGUUAAUACCCCGCUGUUCUGACGGUACCCAAAGAAUAAGCACCGGCUAACUUCGUG
RNAcentral lists this ribosomal RNA (492 nucleotides) under uncultured bacterium. RNAcentral's name for it is "partial 16S ribosomal RNA". It matches the Rfam family "Bacterial small subunit ribosomal RNA", at positions 29 to 507 of the family's 1533-position model. The record is from RNAcentral.